RNAcentral lists this ribosomal RNA (423 nucleotides) under uncultured bacterium. RNAcentral describes it as "bacterial SSU rRNA". It matches the Rfam family "Bacterial small subunit ribosomal RNA", at positions 355 to 775 of the family's 1533-position model. The record is from RNAcentral.
UGAGGAAUAUUGGUCAAUGGACGCAAGUCUGAACCAGCCAUGCCGCGUGAAGGAUGAAGGCCUUCUGGGUUGUAAACUUCUUUUACCUGGGAAGAAACCUCAGUUUUCUAACUGAGUUGACGGUACCAGAGGAAUAAGCACCGGCUAACUCCGUGCCAGCAGCCGCGGUAAUACGGAGGGUGCAAGCGUUAUCCGGAUUUACUGGGUUUAAAGGGUGUGUAGGCGGGUCUUUAAGUCAGUGGUGAAAUCUCCGAGCUCAACUUGGAAACUGCCAUUGAUACUAUUGAUCUUGAAUUUUGUUGAGGUAGGCGGAAUAAGUCAUGUAGCGGUGAAAUGCAUAGAUAUGACUUAGAACACCAAUUGCGAAGGCAGCUUGCUAAACAAAUAUUGACGCUGAGGCACGAAAGCGUGGGGAUCAAACAG